GACGAACGCUGGCGGCGUGCUUAACACAUGCAAGUCGAACGGAAAGGCCUCUUUCGGGGGGUACUCGAGUGGCGAACGGGUGAGUAACACGUGAGUAACCUGCCCUUGACUUUGGGAUAACUUCAGGAAACUGGGGCUAAUACCGGAUAGGAGCUCCUGCUGCAUGGUGGGGGUUGGAAAGUUUCGGCGGUUGGGGAUGGACUCGCGGCUUAUCAGCUUGUUGGUGGGGUAGUGGCUUACCAAGGCUUUGACGGGUAGCCGGCCUGAGAGGGUGACCGGCCACAUUGGGACUGAGAUACGGCCCAGACUCCUACGGGGGGCAGCAGUGGGGAAUAUUGCACAAUGGGUGGAAGCCUGAUGCAGCAGCGCCGUGUGCGGGAUGACGGCCUUCGGGUUGUAAACCGCUUUCGCUCAUGACGAAGCUUUGUGUGACGGUAGUGGGUAAAGAAGCACCGGCUAACUACGUG
Molecule: ribosomal RNA, 467 nt
Filed under: uncultured bacterium
Lineage: Bacteria
Description: partial 16S ribosomal RNA
Rfam family: Bacterial small subunit ribosomal RNA
Source: RNAcentral